UGUAAGGAAGGGCCUUGUGGUAAUAAAACUUCUCAGCAAUUGCUUCUCUGUAAAGGAUUUUAUUUCUCCUUCACUUACGAAUCUUAGUUUGGCUGGAUAUGAGAUUCCGUGU
Sapajus apella (tufted capuchin) is the source of this 112-nucleotide long non-coding RNA. RefSeq lists it as uncharacterized. The transcript is spliced from 3 exons. NCBI's taxonomy places the organism in Eukaryota, Metazoa, Chordata, Mammalia, Primates, Cebidae. The record is from RefSeq and is a predicted model, not a curated record.